GACGAACGCUGGCGGCGUGCUUAACACAUGCAAGUCGAACGGAAAGGCCCUGCUUUUGUGGGGUUCUCGAGUGGCGAACGGGUGAGUAACACGUGAGUAACCUGCCCUUGACUUUGGGAUAACUUCAGGAAACUGGGGCUAAUACCGGAUCGGAGCUCCUGCUGCAUGGUGGGGGUUGGAAAGUUUCGGCGGUUGGGGAUGGACUCGCGGCUUAUCAGCUUGUUGGUGGGGUAGUGGCUUACCAAGGCUUUGACGGGUCGCCGGCCUGAGAGGGUGACCGGCCACAUUGGGACUGAGAUACGGCCCAGACUCCUAUGGGAGGCAGCAGUGGGGAAUAUUGCACAAUGGGCGGAAGCCUGAUGCAGCAACGCCGCGGGCGGGAUGACGGCCUUCGGGUUGUAAACCGCUUUCGCCUGUGACGAAGCGUGAGUGACGGUAAUGGGUAAAGAAGCACCGGCUAACUACGUG
This 468-nucleotide ribosomal RNA is filed under the name uncultured bacterium. RNAcentral's name for it is "partial 16S ribosomal RNA". It matches the Rfam family "Bacterial small subunit ribosomal RNA", at positions 28 to 507 of the family's 1533-position model. The record is from RNAcentral.